UACUGGCAGGAUCAACCAGGUAACUGUGAAGAACAAGUAUCCUCUUCCCCAGAUUGAUGGGCUCUUUGACCAGCUUCAGGGCGGGGCAGUACUUUUCAAAGGUGGACUUGAGAUCGGGAUACCAUCACCUGCAAGUCAGGGAGAAGGAUGUACAAAAGACAGUGUUCCGUACCCGCCACGGACAUUAUGAGUUCCUUUUGAUGCCGUUCGGAUUGACGAAUGCGCCAAUAGUGUUCAUGGCCUUGAUGAACAAGAUCUUUUCUCAGCACCUCGACAGCUUCACAGUUAUGUUCAUCGACGAUGUGAUAGUCUACUCGAAGUCCAAAGAAGAGCACAAGCAACAUUUGAGGACGUCUCUACAGUUGUUGCACGGCAACCAGUUGAACGCAAAGCUCAGCA
RNAcentral lists this unclassified non-coding RNA (399 nucleotides) under Litsea ochracea. RNAcentral describes it as "partial miscellaneous RNA". The record is from RNAcentral. Lineage: Eukaryota; Viridiplantae; Streptophyta; Magnoliopsida; Laurales; Lauraceae.